UGGGGAAUAUUGCACAAUGGGGGAAACCCUGAUGCAGCAACGCCGCGUGAAGGAUGAAGGCCUUUGGGUCGUAAACUUCUGUUCUAAGGGAAGAUAGUGACGGUACCUUAGGAGCAAGUCCCGGCUAACUACGUGCCAGCAGCCGCGGUAAUACGUAGGGGGCAAGCGUUAUCCGGAAUUAUUGGGCGUAAAGAGUACGUAGGUGGUUUUCUAAGCACGGGGUUUAAGGCAAUGGCUUAACCAUUGUUCGCCUUGUGAACUGGAAGACUUGAGUGCAGGAGAGGAAAGCGGAAUUCCUAGUGUAGCGGUGAAAUGCGUAGAUAUUAGGAGGAACACCAGUGGCGAAGGCGGCUUUCUGGACUGUAACUGACACUGAGGUACGAAAGCGUGGGGAGCAAACA
RNAcentral lists this ribosomal RNA (401 nucleotides) under uncultured bacterium. RNAcentral's name for it is "bacterial SSU rRNA". It matches the Rfam family "Bacterial small subunit ribosomal RNA", at positions 355 to 774 of the family's 1533-position model. The record is from RNAcentral.